AUUGAACGCUGGCGGCAGGCCUAACACAUGCAAGUCGAGCGGUAACACAGAGGAGCUUGCUCCUUGGGUGACGAGCGGCGGACGGGUGAGUAAUGCCUGGGAUCUGCCCGAUAGAGGGGGAUAACUACGGGAAACUGUAGCUAAUACCGCAUAAUGUCUACGGACCAAAGUGGGGGCUCUUCGGACCUCAUGCUAUCGGAUGAACCCAGGUGGGAUUAGCUAGUUGGUGAGGUAAUGGCUCACCAAGGCGACGAUCUCUAACUGGUUUGAGAGAAUGACCAGUCACACUGGAACUGAGACACGGUCCAGACUCCUACGGGAGGCAGCAGUGGGGAAUAUUGCACAAUGGGCGCAAGCCUGAUGCAGCCAUGCCGCGUGUGUGAAGAAGGCCUUCGGGUUGUAAAGCACUUUCAGCGGGGAGGAAGGGUUACUAGUUAAUACCUAGUGACAUUGACGUUACUCGCAGAAGAAGCACCGGCUAACUCCGUGCCAGCAGCCGCGGUAAUACGGAGGGUGCAAGCGUUAAUCGGAAUUACUGGGCGUAAAGCGCACGCAGGCGGUUUGUUAAGUCAGAUGUGAAAUCCCCGAGCUCAACUUGGGAACUGCAUUUGAAACUGGCAAGCUAGAGUCUUGNAGAGGGGGGUAGAAUUCCAGGUGUAGCGGUGAAAUGCGUAGAGAUCUGGAGGAAUACCGGUGGCGAAG
RNAcentral lists this ribosomal RNA (702 nucleotides) under uncultured prokaryote. RNAcentral's name for it is "bacterial SSU rRNA". It matches the Rfam family "Bacterial small subunit ribosomal RNA", at positions 28 to 720 of the family's 1533-position model. The record is from RNAcentral.